CCCCCUGGACAAAGACUGACGCUCAGAUGCGAAAGCGUGGGAGCAAACAGGAUUAGAUACCCUGGUAGUUCACGCCGUAAACGAUGUCUACUUGAAGGUUGUGGCCUUGAGCCGUGGCUUUCGGAGCUAACGCGUUAAGUAGACCGCCUGGGGAGUACGGUCGCAAGAUUAAAACUCAAAUGAAUUGACGGGGGCCCGCACAAGCGGUGGAGCAUGUGGUUUAAUUCGAUGCAACGCGAAGAACCUUACCUACUCUUGACAUCCAGAGAAUUCGCUAGAGAUAGCUUAGUGCCUUCGGGAACUCUGAGACAGGUGCUGCAUGGCUGUCGUCAGCUCGUGUUGUGAAAUGUUGGGUUAAGUCCCGCAACGAGCGCAACCCUUAUCCUUGUUUGCCAGCACGUAAUGGUGGGAACUCCAGGGAGACUGCCGGUGAUAAACCGGAGGAAGGUGGGGACGACGUCAAGUCAUCAUGGCCCUUACGAGUAGGGCUACACACGUGCUACAAUGGCGUAUACAGAGGGCUGCCAACCAGCGAUGGUGAGCGAAUCCCACAAAGUACGUCGUAGUCCGGAUCGGAGUCUGCAACUCGACUCCGUGAAGUCGGAAUCGCUAGUAAUCGUGAAUCAGAAUGUCACGGUGAAUACGUUCCCGGGCCUUGUACACACCGCCCGUCACACCAUGGGAGUGGGCUGCACCAGAAGUAGAUAGCUUAACCUUCGGGAGGGCGUUUACCACGGUGUGGUUCAUGACUGGGGUGAAGUCGUA
Molecule: ribosomal RNA, 765 nt
Filed under: uncultured bacterium
Lineage: Bacteria
Description: bacterial SSU rRNA
Rfam family: Bacterial small subunit ribosomal RNA
Source: RNAcentral